AUACAUGCAGUCGAGCGGACAGAUGGGAGCUUGCUCCCUGAAGUCAGCGGCGGACGGGUGAGUAACACGUGGGCAACCUGCCUGUAAGACUGGGAUAACUCCGGGAAACCGGGGCUAAUACCGGAUAAUUCUUUCCCUCACAUGAGGGAAAGCUGAAAGAUGGUUUCGGCUAUCACUUACAGAUGGGCCCGCGGCGCAUUAGCUAGUUGGUGAGGUAACGGCUCACCAAGGCAACGAUGCGUAGCCGACCUGAGAGGGUGAUCGGCCACACUGGGACUGAGACACGGCCCAGACUCCUACGGGAGGCAGCAGUAGGGAAUCUUCCGCAAUGGACGAAAGUCUGACGGAGCAACGCCGCGUGAGUGAUGAAGGUUUUCGGAUCGUAAAACUCUGUUGUUAGGGAAGAACAAGUACCGGAGUAACUGCCGGUACCUUGACGGUACCUAACCAGAAAGCCACGGCUAACUACGUGCCAGCAGCCGCGGUAAUACGUAGGUGGCAAGCGUUGUCCGGAAUUAUUGGGCGUAAAGCGCGCGCAGGCGGUCUCCUUAAGUCUGAUGUGAAAGCCCCCGGCUCAACCCGGGGAGGGUCAUUGGAAAGCUGGGGAACUUGAGUGCAGAAGAGAAGAGU
This 630-nucleotide ribosomal RNA is filed under the name Bacillus sp. (in: firmicutes). Its description in RNAcentral is "bacterial SSU rRNA". It matches the Rfam family "Bacterial small subunit ribosomal RNA", at positions 51 to 662 of the family's 1533-position model. The record is from RNAcentral. Lineage: Bacteria; Bacillati; Bacillota; Bacilli; Caryophanales; Bacillaceae.